RNAcentral lists this ribosomal RNA (253 nucleotides) under uncultured bacterium. RNAcentral describes it as "partial 16S ribosomal RNA". It matches the Rfam family "Bacterial small subunit ribosomal RNA", at positions 524 to 776 of the family's 1533-position model. The record is from RNAcentral.
UACGGAGGGUGCAAGCGUUAAUCGGAAUUACUGGGCGUAAAGCGUGCGCAGGCGGUUUGUUAAGUCCGCUGUGAAAUCCCCGAGCUCAACUUGGGAAUUGCAGUGGAUACUGGCAAGCUGGAGUAUGGUAGAGGAAGGUGGAAUUCCCGGUGUAGCAGUGAAAUGCGUAGAGAUCGGGAGGAGCACCAGUGGCGAAGGCGGCCUUCUGGACCAAUACUGACGCUCAUGCACGAAAGCGUGGGGAGCAAACAGG